Molecule: ribosomal RNA, 500 nt
Filed under: uncultured bacterium
Lineage: Bacteria
Description: partial 16S ribosomal RNA
Rfam family: Bacterial small subunit ribosomal RNA
Source: RNAcentral
AUUGAACGCUGGCGGCAUGCUUUACACAUGCAAGUCGAACGGUAACAGGGAGCUUGCUCCGCUGACGAGUGGCGAACGGGUGAGUAAUAUAUCGGAACGUACCCAAGAGUGGGGGAUAACGUAGCGAAAGUUACGCUAAUACCGCAUACGAUCUAUGGAUGAAAGCAGGGGACCUUCGGGCCUUGUGCUCCUGGAGCGGCCGAUAUCUGAUUAGCUAGUUGGUGAGGUAAAGGCUCACCAAGGCGACGAUCAGUAGCUGGUCUGAGAGGACGACCAGCCACACUGGAACUGGGACACGGUCCAGAAUCCUACGGGAGGCAGCAGUGGGGAAUUUUGGACAAUGGGCGCAAGCCUGAUCCAGCAAUGCCGCGUGAGUGAAGAAGGCCUUCGGGUUGUAAAGCUCUUUUGUCAGGGAAGAAACGGCUGUGGCUAAUAUCCACGGCUAAUGACGGUACCUGAAGAAUAAGCACCGGCUAACUACGUGCCAGCCGCCGCGGUAA